This 442-nucleotide ribosomal RNA is filed under the name uncultured bacterium. RNAcentral's name for it is "partial 16S ribosomal RNA". It matches the Rfam family "Bacterial small subunit ribosomal RNA", at positions 338 to 795 of the family's 1533-position model. The record is from RNAcentral.
CCUACGGGUGGCAGCAGUAGGGAAUCUUUCACAAUGGGCGAAAGCCUGAUGGAGCAACGCCGCGUGCAGGAUGAAGGCCUUCGGGUUGUAAACUGCUUUUAUAAGCGAGAAAUAUGAUGGUAACUUAUGAAUAAGGAGCGGCUAACUACGUGCCAGCAGCCGCGGUCAUACGUAGGAGCCGAGCAUUAUCCGGAGUGACUGGGUGUAAAGAGUUGCGUAGGUGGCAUAAUAAGUAGCUAGUGAAAUCUGGUGGCUCAACCAUUCAGACUAUUAGCUAAACUGUUAAGCUCGAGACCGUUAGAGGUAACUGGAAUUUCUAGUGUAGGAGUGAAAUCCGUAGAUAUUAGAAGGAACACCAAUAGCGUAGGCAGGUUGCUGGGACGGUUCUGACACUGAGGCACGAAAGCGUAGGGAGCAAACGGGAUUAGAUACCCCUGUAGUC